GGCGUGGGGUGCUAAUACAUGCAAGUCGAGCGGACAGAUGGGAGCUUGCUCCCUGAUGUUAGCGGCGGACGGGUGAGUAACACGUGGGUAACCUGCCUGUAAGACUGGGAUAACUCCGGGAAACCGGGGCUAAUACCGGAUGGUUGUUUGAACCGCAUGGUUCAAACAUAAAAGGUGGCUUCGGCUACCACUUACAGAUGGACCCGCGGCGCAUUAGCUAGUUGGUGAGGUAACGGCUCACCAAGGCAACGAUGCGUAGCCGACCUGAGAGGGUGAUCGGCCACACUGGGACUGAGACACGGCCCAGACUCCUACGGGAGGCAGCAGUAGGGAAUCUUCCGCAAUGGACGAAAGUCUGACGGAGCAACGCCGCGUGAGUGAUGAAGGUUUUCGGAUCGUAAAGCUCUGUUGUUAGGGAAGAACAAGUACCGUUCGAAUAGGGCGGUACCUUGACGGUACCUAACCAGAAAGCCACGGCUAACUACGUGCCAGCAGCCGCGGUAAUACGUAGGUGGCAAGCGUUGUCCGGAAUUAUUGGGCGUAAAGGGCUCGCAGGCGGUUUCUUAAGUCUGAUGUGAAAGCCCCCGGCUCAACCGGGGAGGGUCAUUGGAAACUGGGGAACUUGAGUGCAGAAGAGGAGAGUGGAAUUCCACGUGUAGCGGUGAAAUGCGUAGAGAUGUGGAGGAACACCAGUGGCGAAGGCGACUCUCUGGUCUGUAACUGACGCUGAGGAGC
Molecule: ribosomal RNA, 735 nt
Filed under: Bacillus subtilis
Lineage: Bacteria; Bacillati; Bacillota; Bacilli; Caryophanales; Bacillaceae
Description: bacterial SSU rRNA
Rfam family: Bacterial small subunit ribosomal RNA
Source: RNAcentral